This 235-nucleotide long non-coding RNA is filed under the name Elaeis guineensis (African oil palm). RNAcentral describes it as "long non-coding RNA (EGUI_LNC027469)". Lineage: Eukaryota; Viridiplantae; Streptophyta; Magnoliopsida; Arecales; Arecaceae. The record is from RNAcentral.
UUAUAUUUCAAUCUUUUUUUAAAUCCAUCACAUGGAUUAUCUGGGCCCAGAUUUUGCUAAAUUAAAAUAUCCAGAUGCAUAUCUCCUACUAAUUCGGAGGGGUCAAUCCCAUCUUGACUCACGCACCGACUUGACAAAUACUCGACUGUACCCAAAAAUCUUCCAUCACUGAAUUAAAAUUUUAAUUAGUCUGACAUUAAGGUACAGUGAGUUGCUUGUAAGCCACUGUGCUGAU